This 314-nucleotide long non-coding RNA is filed under the name Panax ginseng (ginseng). RNAcentral's name for it is "long non-coding RNA (PGIN_LNC018781)". The record is from RNAcentral. Lineage: Eukaryota; Viridiplantae; Streptophyta; Magnoliopsida; Apiales; Araliaceae.
UGAUUUUCCAUUUUCUUUUGUGAGUAGAGGACAUUUCAGAUUUAGCAGUGGCGUUUGGGAAUGGAGUUUGGAUCUUAAGUUAUGGAUAUUGGGGAUCUGGUUGUGGUGUGUUUGGUUGGAGUGAUUUUGGGCUUGGCUCCUACUCCGCCAUCUUCAUUCUUCGUCAUAUCUCCACCCUUGCCAUCUUCUGACCCCUCCUUCUUGCGGCCCACCCAAAACCCUAGCUUUACAAAGACUGCAAGCUACAAACCCACCACAAAAAUGAUUCAUCUUACCACCUGCUAAUGAUUCAUCUUACCUUCAGCUUCGCAGUC